Molecule: unclassified non-coding RNA, 295 nt
Filed under: uncultured fungus
Lineage: Eukaryota; Fungi
Description: sequence contains ITS1
Source: RNAcentral
AAAAGACGAGGGUCUAUUCAACCACCACUAGUCGUGUGUCCGCCGAAGGGAACUCUUAUUUAGGCCAACCGAAACACAAGCACGGGAGGCCAUUAUCCGCCCCCAACACCAUGCCAACCCGUUGGGGAGGUAUGGUGGGGAGCGACGCGAUGCGUGACGCCCAGGCAGGCGUGCCCUCGGCCUAAUGGCUUCGGGCGCAACUUGCGUUCAAAGACUCGAUGGUUCACGGGAUUCUGCAAUUCACACCAAGUAUCGCAUUUCGCUGCGUUCUUCAUCGAUGCUGUCGGAUUCUAAG